AAGUCGUAACAAGGUUUCCGUAGGUGAACCUGCGGAAGGAUCAUUACGAAUCUCUGUUGUUGGUUGGGUGUGGUGUGGUGGGGUAGAGGAAGGAAAAGAAUUAUUUUUUCUUUCUCUCUUACCACCACCUACCUAUACUUACAUACAUAAGCACAAGGAACAACCGAUAUGGUAUUUUCCUUGAUGUUAACGCUUUAAAUGAUUUAGACAUAUCAAGUAUAAUUUAAGUAAAGAUAACUUUUAACAAUGGAUCUCUUGGCUCUUA
Molecule: unclassified non-coding RNA, 265 nt
Filed under: fungal sp.
Lineage: Eukaryota; Fungi
Description: partial internal transcribed spacer region
Rfam family: Eukaryotic small subunit ribosomal RNA (bases 1-46)
Source: RNAcentral